GGAGUACGACUGCAAGGUUGAAACUCAAAGGAAUUGACGGGGGCCCGCACAAGCGGUGGAGCAUGUGGUUUAAUUUGAAGCAACGCGAAGAACCUUACCAGGUCUUGACAUCUUUUGAUCACCUGAGAGAUCAGGUUUCCCCUUCGGGGGCAAAAUGACAGGUGGUGCAUGGUUGUCGUCAGCUCGUGUCGUGAGAUGUUGGGUUAAGUCCCGCAACGAGCGCAACCCUUAUGACUAGUUGCCAGCAUUUAGUUGGGCACUCUAGUAAGACUGCCGGUGACAAACCGGAGGAAGGUGGGGAUGACGUCAAAUCAUCAUGCCCCUUAUGACCUGGGCUACACACGUGCUACAAUGGAUGGUACAACGAGUUGCGAGACCGCGAGGUCAAGCUAAUCUCUUAAAGCCAUUCUCAGUUCGGACUGUAGGCUGCAACUCGCCUACACGAAGUCGGAAUCGCUAGUAAUCGCGGAUCAGCACGCCGCGGUGAAUACGUUCCCGGGCCUUGUACACACCGCCCGUCACACCUAUAAGUUUGUAACACCCGAAGCCGGUGGCGUAACCCUUUUAGGGAGCGAGCCUUUCUAAAGGUGGGGCCGAGGGG
This 601-nucleotide ribosomal RNA is filed under the name Lacticaseibacillus paracasei. Its description in RNAcentral is "bacterial SSU rRNA". It matches the Rfam family "Bacterial small subunit ribosomal RNA", at positions 877 to 1475 of the family's 1533-position model. The record is from RNAcentral. Lineage: Bacteria; Bacillati; Bacillota; Bacilli; Lactobacillales; Lactobacillaceae.